RNAcentral lists this long non-coding RNA (3454 nucleotides) under Homo sapiens (human). RNAcentral's name for it is "HSALNT0169976". Lineage: Eukaryota; Metazoa; Chordata; Mammalia; Primates; Hominidae. The record is from RNAcentral.
AUUUUGCUAUGAGGAACUGAAGUUUUAAUGGUGAUGUCAGAUGGAGAAUAUGUCUCCUUUUGCUUAAAGGUUUCACUCUUACAACCAUGGAAGAUUCUAUGCUCAGCUUCCGGCGAGACUAACAGUGACAGAGGAAUCACAAAUACAGCUCAGAAUGACUCCUCCUAGGUGGGCAGGGAUUGAAAGGAAGAAAGUGUGAUAUCGUCGUGCGCCUGUCUUCCUUUCUGCCCUCAUUCCAGGCUUUCUAUUCCGUGAGUGCAAAAGGAAACAGGAUGCACCUGAAUUACUGAACAGUACAAGGGAAUUUAAUUAAGAAUAUACACAUUAGAAUUUCAGUGGGAUUGCCUAUUUAAUGUUACUUUAUUAAGCCUUCUAUCAAACCCUUUUUUAUGUAUAUCAGUUGAUAUACAAUUAAUCUGUUCUCUUGUGAGAAAAAAAAAUAGCACCUGAGGUGAAUGAAAAGUGUCAGAUGAGAAUAAUUAUAAGCAGCUGUUCACUUGGAGCACCUCUGGCCUACAUGGGGGAUGCUGUGAGCUACCACUCCUCGCAACAGCCCACCUCAUUAGACUUGACCUUCCCAGCUGGGGAUUUCAUUUGUGCUUUUUUAAUGGGUUUGUAUACGGCAAAUCACAACACCUUAUGAAGAUGGAGUCUUUGUAGCUGUAACAAAAGGGAGCAUGCGAGUUUACAAAAAAGCUACCGCUCCCGCUGACUGGCAGGGUACCCGCCAUAAUGCAGGUAACUUUUCAGCCACUGGCUGGGGCAAGGCGUACCAUCCCGAUGCCUUAGGUGAGAUAAAUGCGUUUCCUUGGCUUUGAAGCGCCUCUGGUCCGUGCAGCCACCAGCAGUACAAAAAUAAUUGCGAGUCCUGAUCGCACUUUGGAGCCUAAUGACAGCCCACUUAAAACCAGAUCUCCAAACCCACAGAAGCCCCAAUUUCCAGCAACAGUGCAUCUCCACGCGUGGUGCCUUUCCGAAGGCAGCCCAGGACAAGAGGACAGCAACGGCAGAUCAGACGCCAGCAUGGGCGUAGAUGAUAGAUACAGAGGUAGGGGGAGUCUCCAGGAAAACAUCUCUGGUUUUCUUUUCUCCUUUCCAUUUAUGUUUGUAAUAAACUCACUCUCAUACAAUUAGCCUCAAUUGUUUUUAUAUCUUCGGAGGCAAUAAUACAGGCAGCCUGGGGAAUACAGUAGUAAUCCGUAUACCUGUGUUCAUUUACCCAAAUCACUAUGGUUACAGCCAGGGCAAACUGUUUACGGUGAGAAUCCGAGAGCCUCUUUCCAGCUACUAAUGACCUUUCUGUUCCUCCAAUAACAUCAACAAACCAGGGAGGCUGCCCAUGCCAUUAAAGCCAAUUGCCUCUCCAGUUACUGAGGGACUUGAGCGUUUCCUCAUUUAUUUUCUCUCAUCUGAUGUAACUCACAUGCCACUUUCUUGUCUUUAAAGAAGGGGAAAAACUGUGGAUUAUUGAUUUGCUUCUGAACAGAAGACCAACCUAAAAGCCCCGAUGAAUUGUCACUCAUUAUUGAAAUUACUGAACACUAAUUAAACUGGCAGCUCAAAUCCCAGCAGGCCACACUCAUCUGAAGCUGAAAUUCAGACACUUGGGCAGUGGAAGAGAGAGAGUGCUAGCAACCACCGGGAUUGUAAUAAGCUUUGCAUUAAUUUUUGCUUCUUAAAGGUACACAGCCCUGUUUGUGGUGGCCCAGCCGGCAGUGGCACACAUGCGGGGAAACAGGCAAGGCCCCUGUCCGGUUCUUUGGAGAAAUCACUGAUUCAGAUCCCUUGCAGAAUUUCUCAGUGAGACUCAGCCCUGUGCCCCCGGUGAAGUCACAGUCCACACCCUGAGAUGCCUGCUGUGACAGCGGCAGGAGCCGCUGGCUGACAUAAGGAAAGCUGGCCCUUCGGAUGGCUGCUCGAGGGGAAACUGAGUCAGGCUGGCUGGAAAGCAGCCAUGCAGGCUUCCCUGGAAAUGACCCAGGCCAAACAGCCUUUCCAAUUCAUCAAGUCUGAUUUACUGUCUAAAAUAUGCCUUGGCCUAUUUUCACGGCUGCACAAACUCCACGUAAAUUAUGCAUGAUUAUGGUUAAUCCAACCUCCUUUGGCUCUGCCUAAGUAGUAGCCCCUCAUUUGCUCAGCUUCAAAGGGGACUGGUUGAUGGGAAGGGACUGGUUCAAGGCUGGAGUUGAGAGUGAAUCUCCUGCAGUCACAGGAAAAAGCAGAGCAAACUGGGCCUUGAAAAGGCCCCUAUUCUGAGUCAAGACAUGUAUGGGGAGGAAAUGGUGGGUGGUGAUCUCUUGGCCAGGCACCUUCAGAUAAGGGUUCUUUGUCCGGGUUAUCACUUUCUUUUUAAAGAGGUGUUUUUAAAAGCAGAGAUUUACAAAGCUUCUAGCAGCUUUAUCUGUAAAGGCCCAGACUGGAAACAACCCACUGUCCAUCGACAGGUGACUGGAUAAGCAGAUGGUGGUACAUCCAUGCAAGGGACUACUACUCGGCAAUGAAAAGAAAUGGGCCAUUGACACACACACAGAGCAGUUGUUCUCUUUUAAAAUGGGGUGGUUGGAACCAUCACUUACACUUGUCCUAGUCAGACUGCUUUCCUCCACCUCAGGAAAGAAUGCACAUUUUUAAAAAGGCUAACAUGAUGGAGAUGGAGAGGGAGAAGGAAUGGUAGAGCCAGAGCUUGUUGAGAGAGGGCCCUGGGGUUGGGGGGUGCACAGGUCCUGGGGGAUCCUUGACAGGGCGUGUCGCCUGCAGGAGACAACACAAGCCAUGCACCAUGUUAAAACCGUGUCCUGCUUUGGAAAUUUUAAACUGUUAGACUUCCUGAGUCUCUGUCAAAAGCUGAUUCGAAUUUCCCUCCCUGUUGUUCUCACAGCAGAGUUGAGGCAUGGAACGCACAUGGGUUGACAGCCACGCUGAGGACGCAGCUCAGCCUUGUGGCUGACCCUCAGCCCGGGAGCUCCAGAUGGGCAUUUCCUGGUUCCUGGAGGAGCCGCACUCACAGGCAACUGGACACCGGCCUUCUUGGUGCUUCCCUUUCUCAGAGAGCAACAAACAAUGCAACGGCAAAGCUCUGCAGACACCCCGGAAGCAACACUGCUCCCUGCUGUGGGAAAAGGCUGUGGCAAUGUUGGGCUUCACACCUACCAGGGUCAGCCCCCGGACUGCACAGAUGUCAGCCUGUGGGAGGCUUGGCUAUUCUGAGAGCCUGGGCACAAGCUUGUGGUGACUACAGUCCUGGGCCCUGGAGGGCCACAGCUGUCAACUGUAGGAACUUUACUUGAACUCUUCCUUCCCCACAUCCUCAUCUCUACAUUUCUGGUAAUAAUGUUACCCGAAAGGGUAAAUGAAACCAACUAUCUGAAACCGACAGCAAGGUGCCUGGCACGUGGUAAAUGCUUAAUAAAACUUUCGGUUUCCUGAACCUCGACCCUGGGAUUUUUGUCUGCCU